UCGGGAAUUUUGGGCAAUGGGCGAAAGCCUGACCCAGCAACGCCGCGUGAAGGAUGAAGUAUUUCGGUAUGUAAACUUCGAAAGAAUAGGAAGAAUAAAUGACGGUACUAUUUAUAAGGUCCGGCUAACUACGUGCCAGCAGCCGCGGUAAUACAGAGGGUGCAAGCGUUAAUCGGAAUGACUGGGCGUAAAGGGCGCGUAGGUGGAUACGUAAGUAAAUUGUGAAAGACCCGGGCUUAACCUGGGAAGGUCAAUUUAAACGGCGUGUCUGGAGUGGAGUAGAGGGAAGUAGAAUUUCCGGUGUAGCGGUGAAAUGCGUAGAUAUCGGAAGGAAUACCGGUGGCGAAGGCGUCUUCCUGGACUCUAACUGACGCUGUAGCGCGAAAGCGUGGGGAUCAAACAGGAUUAGAUACCCACGUAGUCCCUGAGCGGGCUGGCAAGGCGCAU
This 447-nucleotide ribosomal RNA is filed under the name uncultured bacterium. RNAcentral describes it as "bacterial SSU rRNA". It matches the Rfam family "Bacterial small subunit ribosomal RNA", at positions 355 to 825 of the family's 1533-position model. The record is from RNAcentral.